Molecule: microRNA precursor, 84 nt
Organism: Accipiter nisus (Eurasian sparrowhawk)
Lineage: Eukaryota; Metazoa; Chordata; Aves; Accipitriformes; Accipitridae
Source: Ensembl
GAGCUGUUGGAUUCGGGGCCGUAACACUGUCUGAGAGGUUUACAUUUCUCACAGUGAACCGGUCUCUUUUUCAGCUGCUUCCUG